UACGUAGGUGGCAAGCGUUGUCCGGAUUUACUGGGCGUAAAGCGAACGCAGGCGGACUGUUAAGUAAGAAGUGAAAGGUUGGAGCUCAACUCUGACACGGCUUCUUAUACUGGCAGUCUUGAGUCUUGGAGAGGAAAGCGGAACGACACGUGUAGCGGUGAAAUGCGUUGAUAUGUGUCGGAACACCGAUGGCGAAAGCAGCUUUCUGGACAAGUACUGACGCUGAGGUUCGAAAGCCAAGGGAGCGAACCGG
RNAcentral lists this ribosomal RNA (253 nucleotides) under uncultured bacterium. RNAcentral's name for it is "partial 16S ribosomal RNA". It matches the Rfam family "Bacterial small subunit ribosomal RNA", at positions 524 to 776 of the family's 1533-position model. The record is from RNAcentral.